GUAAAAGAAAAUGCAAAGUGGGGGCAAUACAUUUCACAUGGUAAUUUUAACUUAUUUACCAACCAAUAAUGAAAUCAGGGCAGCAGGAUUAAGAUUCCUCAUAAUAUAAAACAACAGAAAAGAACUACAUCGACUCAAAGAAAGAGACGAAUAUACCUUGUAUUGAAUGAUGCACUCCUCCUUUGAAGGCCCACUGUCUUCAUCUUUAGAAUCUGAAGAUGUAUCAGAAACUUUCAAAUAACAGUAUUGUGCUGUGUAGUCCAAUAAUGCGUACGCAUGAUUUAAAGGUAAGUUGCAGGAUUUAUAAGAAAAAUAAAGGUAAUCUAUCUAGUUAUAAAAAAUGNAUAACAACAAUCUAGAUAAUCCUUUCAAAUGGUCAAAUCAAUUAUUAGUGGCGAAAUGCCAUUUCAUUUAUCAAAUUAACAAAAACUUAAAAUGAAAGGAUAAUAAAAUUAUACCUUCCUUUUUUCACCAUGUUAUCAAUUUCUCACAUAUUAAUUGUAAAUGAUGAGCAUGAAGAUUUGAAGCUAUCUCAUCAAUCAAUCGCAAAGUUACAGGGGAUUGGAAAUUAUCCCAACAAUACCUCUCCUGAAUCACAAGCAUUUAAUUGUUGUAACCAUCAUUAUUUACAAAACAUUUCCAUCGAUUUCUUUAAAUUAAAUUUCAUCAUAGCUAAAAUUAGCUAAAUAAUUCGCAAUUAUGUAUAAAUGAAAAAGUAAUAUGAUAAAAUGAUAUCAAUUAUGUUUAGAUGAAUAGAUUAAAAUAAAAAAAGCUCAUGUUCUAGACAAUGUAAGGAAAAAAAAACUAAAGCUAUGUAUGAGUAUUUGAAGAUGGUUUAUGAAAAAGCUAUGGAUAAGUUUAUGGAAAAAGGCUAACAUAUUUUUAUGCAGGGUAUGNUUAGUCGUACCUUAAAUAACCAUGGCUUGGUUCAGAUGCAUGGACUAUUUGAGCUCCCCUAAUGCCUAUCAAAUCAUAGAUUAACCAAUUAAAUAAGAAUAUAACAUAAACAACAGUUAUGAAAGACAAAAUUAUGAAAAGUAUUAUGAAUAAAAAGGAUGAACUACAACACAUUUAAUGUCCUUGAAAAUAUUUAAAGAAAAUUAGUUUUUGUGCCUCUCACGAGCGCCUCUCCCAGAAGCUAGGUGACCACCACACAUAAAGCAAAAGCUUGUUUCAUGUAGCACAAAUCUCACAGGCACACAACCAUUCAAAAUCAAAUCAAUCAGAGUGGAAAAAUUAAAUAAACUUGAUCAAGAGGACUUAUAAUCAUUAUUCCCAGCAACACCUGCAUCAUAAAACAUAAGCAAGUUAGAAUCAUAAGGUAAAGUAAAGGAGAAGCUGUAAGAAUUGAAGGCAAGGUAUCNAAACUUAGCACCUUGACCUAUGAAAAAGCUCUACUCCAAUUUAAUUUUAAAAGCAUAAAAAGACUGUGUGACGUUGAUAUUAGUUGAAAUGUAUCAUCCCAUAACUAAGCCAUAUAUAUAUAUAUAUAUAUAUAUAUAUAUAUAUAUAUAUAUAUAUAUAUAUAUAUAUAUNNNNNNNNNNNNNNNNNNNNNNNNNN
Molecule: long non-coding RNA, 1561 nt
Filed under: Vigna radiata
Lineage: Eukaryota; Viridiplantae; Streptophyta; Magnoliopsida; Fabales; Fabaceae
Description: long non-coding RNA (VRAD_LNC001192)
Source: RNAcentral